AAAGGGUCCGCAGGCGGAUUUAUAAGUCAGUGGUGAAAUCCUAUCGCUUAACGAUAGAACUGCCAUUGAUACUGUACGUCUUGAAUUCGGUCGAAGUGGGCGGAAUGUGUAGUGUAGCGGUGAAAUGCAUAGAUAUUACACAGAACACCGAUAGCGAAGGCAGCUCACUAGGCCUGGAUUGACGCUCAGGGACGAAAGCGUGGGGAUCAAACAGGAUUAGAUACCCUGGU
RNAcentral lists this ribosomal RNA (230 nucleotides) under uncultured bacterium. RNAcentral's name for it is "partial 16S ribosomal RNA". It matches the Rfam family "Bacterial small subunit ribosomal RNA", at positions 562 to 791 of the family's 1533-position model. The record is from RNAcentral.